UUAAGCGUGAGGUCGGUGGUUCAAGUCCACUUAGGCCCA
This 39-nucleotide transfer RNA is filed under the name Geobacillus stearothermophilus. RNAcentral's name for it is "partial tRNA-Ile". The record is from RNAcentral. RNAcentral also lists the same sequence under 5 other names. Lineage: Bacteria; Bacillati; Bacillota; Bacilli; Caryophanales; Anoxybacillaceae.